This 253-nucleotide ribosomal RNA is filed under the name uncultured bacterium. Its description in RNAcentral is "partial 16S ribosomal RNA". It matches the Rfam family "Bacterial small subunit ribosomal RNA", at positions 524 to 776 of the family's 1533-position model. The record is from RNAcentral.
UACAGAGGUCUCAAGCGUUGUUCGGAUUCAUUGGGCGUAAAGGGUGUGUAGGUGGCGCUGUAAGUCGGGUGUGAAAUUUCGGAGCUUAACUCCGAAACUGCAUUCGAUACUGCGGUGCUUGAGGACUGGAGAGGAGACUGGAAUUCAUGGUGUAGCAGUGAAAUGCGUAGAGAUCAUGAGGAAGACCAGUGGCGAAGGCGGGUCUCUGGACAGUUCCUGACACUGAGGCACGAAGGCCAGGGGAGCAAACGGG